This is a long non-coding RNA of Musca domestica (house fly), 497 nucleotides long. RefSeq lists it as uncharacterized. The record is from RefSeq and is a predicted model, not a curated record. The transcript has 3 exons. NCBI's taxonomy places the organism in Eukaryota, Metazoa, Arthropoda, Insecta, Diptera, Muscidae.
UUGAUACAUGUAUAAAUGUACUGACCAAAAUUGAAAUAAAACUAGAUACUCUAUUGACACAGGAUGCGAAAAAAAUAUACUUUCCCAUACAAAAUGAGGCAGAUCUCCACAAAGUUGAGAAAAAAAUUGGGGAAGACUUCGCUUCGUUUAUUCCCAUCAUGGAAAGAAUAUUGUUUCCUUCUGGAGUUGUAAAAAACUUAUGUAGAGUACUUUCCGAAGAAUUGAUUAUGAACUAUAACUUUGAAGGAAUAAAAGGAAAAAUGGCUUUUAAGUCCUUUGAAAAUAUAAAUAAGUUAAUGUAUGAGGUGUCAAAGAGGGAAGGAUACGACGAGAAGGAAUAUAAGAAGGAUGUUAAAAAGGCAUUCCAUUUGAUAAAAUUAAGGCAGUUUAAGAAAACACAUCUCGCUAAAAAACGUAGCGAGAAAUAAGAAUUUAUUUAAACAUAAUCCAAAAAUGAAUUACAUUUUAUGUUUUUGUAUGUAUUCACAAUGAGUUUG